This 96-nucleotide transfer RNA is filed under the name Bradyrhizobium symbiodeficiens. Its description in RNAcentral is "tRNA-OTHER". It matches the Rfam family "tRNA". From Rfam's summary of the family: Transfer RNA (tRNA) molecules are approximately 80 nucleotides in length. Their secondary structure includes four short double-helical elements and three loops (D, anti-codon, and T loops). Further hydrogen bonds mediate the characteristic L-shaped molecular structure. tRNAs have two regions of fundamental functional importance: the anti-codon, which is responsible for specific mRNA codon recognition, and the 3' end, to which the tRNAs corresponding amino acid is attached (by aminoacyl-tRNA synthetases). tRNAs cope with the degeneracy of the genetic code in two manners: having more than one tRNA (with a specific anti-codon) for a particular amino acid; and 'wobble' base-pairing, i.e. permitting non-standard base-pairing at the 3rd anti-codon position. Lineage: Bacteria; Pseudomonadati; Pseudomonadota; Alphaproteobacteria; Hyphomicrobiales; Nitrobacteraceae. The record is from RNAcentral.
AGGCCUGUCGUCUAGCGGUAGGACACCGAGUUUUAUUGUGAGCCGACAGGCUUGCUUCUCAUUCUCGGGACGAAGGUUCGAGUCCUUUCAGGCUUU